CAGUAUCCUUCAAUAAAUUCCGAGGGGGCUGCUUGGAAAAUGAAGACAUCUGUCGGAUCCCAAGUAAACCCUUUGAAAAUAUUUCGCGCAAACUUGAUGCCGUGCAGACGCAAACUUGACGUGUAGACCGAAAAGGUAAUCAUAACAACUCAGAACAGCAGAUGCUUAAUGAUUUUUGUUUCUGUUUUGACUUGGCGUCUCAUUCCUAGACUGUUUGUGAAUGGGCUUUUUACAUUCUUCAAUGGCAUUCAAUGAUUCAAGGACGAAUUGAACAAGAAACUGGAAGAAGAAAGCAAGAAAACAAUUCAUUCAAUAUCCGAAACGCAAGAAUUGAUCCAGCAACUGACGGCCUACACAUGUCAACAAAUGUUGGAGGAGACAACGACCAGAAUGGAGGAUCUUUGUAAUCAGUUGUCGAUUUAGAAUGAACAUAAUAGAGAUCUUGACAGGAAGACUCACAGAGCAGAAUACACAUUGGCUGGCCAAGAGACCUCUCUGCGAUUAAUAUCUGAUUUGAAAAAACAAAUGGCUGAUCUCAAGUUUCAGUUGUCUGAAAAGGCUAUUGAACUCCAGUGCAAGGAAAAGAAGAUUGAGGAAACUGAGAAUGCCUUGAAAGACUUGUUGCUACAUUCUCAUAGCAAUGAACAGUUGGCCAUUGUCGAAGAAAGUAAUCGCGAACUUUAGGACAAAUUUGAUGAAAAGGCCCAGGAACUUGAAGCUGCUCUUGUUUGUCGAGAGAAUUCGCAGGGAUUAAAAGCCGAUCUCGAUAAGGAAGUUACUGAUCUCAAAUGUCAGCUUAUGUCAAAGUCAAUAGAACUCCAGUAGAGCGGAUGGAAGAAAGGGAGAAAGCCAUAGACGAAUUAACACUAAAGUCUCUUAUAACACUGAACGGAAACUUGCCGAUCAGAAGUGGACAUGUCGAGACAAAAAGAAAAGUUGGAGUUAGACGCUUUCACAGAAAACGAAGCCGGAAGUGAUUCAGAUUAGCCCCUUUAAGUCCCAGUCAUCGCCCCCUUUCUUACGCAAAUUAUUUAUGUUAUGCUAAUUUUCUUUAUGUCCCCUCAAACAAGUGUAGUAAAUUGAUAGUUAUGAAAUAUAAUAAUGGCGUAUUUAUUUAAAAA
This 1121-nucleotide long non-coding RNA is filed under the name Daphnia pulicaria. RNAcentral's name for it is "uncharacterized LOC124335897". Lineage: Eukaryota; Metazoa; Arthropoda; Branchiopoda; Diplostraca; Daphniidae. The record is from RNAcentral.